AUUGAACGCUGGCGGCAUGCCUUACACAUGCAAGUCGAACGGCAGCACGGGAGCAAUCCUGGUGGCGAGUGGCGAACGGGUGAGUAAAGUAUCGGAACGUGCCCAGUCGUGGGGGAUAACGUAGCGAAAGUUACGCUAAUACCGCAUACGAUCUAUGGAGGAAAGCGGGGGAUCGCAAGACCUCGCGCGAUUGGAGCGGCCGAUAUCAGAUUAGGUAGUGGGUGGGGUAAAGGCUCACCAAGCCGACGAUCUGUAGCUGGUCUGAGAGGACGACCCGCCACACUGGGACUGAGACACGGCCCAGACUCCUACGGGAGGCAGCAGUGGGGAAUUUUGGACAAUGGGCGAAAGCCUGAUCCAGCCAUGCCGCGUGCAGGAUGAAGGCCUUCGGGUUGUAAACUGCUUUUGUACGGAACGAAAAGGUUUGGCCUAAUAAGCUGAGCUCAUGACGGUACCGUAAGAAUAAGCACCGGCUAACUACGUGCCAGCAGCCGCAGUAA
This 500-nucleotide ribosomal RNA is filed under the name uncultured bacterium. Its description in RNAcentral is "partial 16S ribosomal RNA". It matches the Rfam family "Bacterial small subunit ribosomal RNA", at positions 30 to 523 of the family's 1533-position model. The record is from RNAcentral.